This 250-nucleotide ribosomal RNA is filed under the name uncultured bacterium. Its description in RNAcentral is "partial 16S ribosomal RNA". It matches the Rfam family "Bacterial small subunit ribosomal RNA", at positions 525 to 775 of the family's 1533-position model. The record is from RNAcentral.
ACGUAGGGGGCAAGCGUUAUCCGGAAUUAUUGGGCGUAAAGAGUACGUAGGUGGUUACCUAAGCACGAGGUAUAAGGCAAUGGCUCAACCAUUGUUCGCCUUGUGAACUGGGCUACUUGAGUGCAGGAGAGGAAAGCGGAAUUCCUAGUGUAGCGGUGAAAUGCGUAGAUAUUAGGAGGAACACCAGUGGCGAAGGCGGCUUUCUGGACUGUAACUGACACUGAGGUACGAAAGCGUGGGGAGCAAACAG